Molecule: long non-coding RNA, 719 nt
Organism: Anopheles arabiensis
Lineage: Eukaryota; Metazoa; Arthropoda; Insecta; Diptera; Culicidae
Exons: 5
Source: RefSeq, a predicted model, not a curated record
CGUCAGUGUGACAGCAUCGGCUACUAGAUGACAGGCUCCUCGACUGCUGGCCGCUCCAAGUGUAUUGAACAAUCGUAGGCAAAAAGUAAAUCCUCUGCUAAAUUAAGUGUUUGGCAACGGGACCUGCGACCAACCCGUUCUUCAUGAUGCGUGGACGAGUGCGGCAAUAUUUGAUUGUUUGUAAACACUUGAAAGAUGCUGAACAUAAGUGAAGCUGCUUUUGUGCCUGAAGCCCACUAAAAAGCUACUGAGCAGUGAUUAUUAUCCGGCGUUGGUACAAACUGCAAUCGCGAACAACUCACUCACUCGCAAUGAAGGAAGCUCUGAAACAUCGAUAUCGGAGCGUAAAGUUAAGAAAGAGGACAUAGCUGCCCCAAUUGUAUCAUCUCAUCCACGCUUAAACACCAUCGGGAAGAUCCGAGCUAUUCAAUCAUCCGAGGCGUGUGCCAAAUGCCCUGAGCUUGCCAAGCUCGGGGAUGUGCCUGCGACCUUCUUCACGCGUUGAAUUGACUCCAUCUUUGCUUCAAUUGCAAUCUACGCCGUACCCAAUACGGAAGGUGCAUAAAAGGUAAUCACUUCAGCUGCACUUUGCACACUUCUGGAUCACUUCGCCUGUUGCAAAGUAGGUCGUUGGCCUUAUUCUUACUUCAAGACGCAAAAAGACUGUUCUAUUUCAUCAGACAGAGCCUGUUUAGCGAAGAACUUCUAGAAUAACAAAC